GCGAAAAGAGUCAAUAAACUUUCCGUCUACAAAAAAGGCCAUAAACACACACAGGCUGCAAAUUGCCACCACUCUUCUCCUAGAGACAGAUGACUUGACAAACAUCUGUCAUUUCUGCGGGGAAGAAGAGCAUGAAACUGAAAACAAAUGGAUUCAGUGUGAGAUGUGUUUGCGGUGGUUCCACCAGCUCUGUGUGAAAAGCCCACCACCAGAAGAUGUGUUUAUUUGUUUCGCU
Molecule: long non-coding RNA, 235 nt
Organism: Maylandia zebra (zebra mbuna)
Lineage: Eukaryota; Metazoa; Chordata; Actinopteri; Cichliformes; Cichlidae
Source: RefSeq, a predicted model, not a curated record